UGGGAAUUUUGGACAAUGGGCGAAAGCCUGAUCCAGCAAUGCCGCGUGUGUGAAGAAGGCCUUCGGGUUGUAAAGCACUUUUGUCCGGAAAGAAAUCCUUGGCUCUAAUACAGUCGGGGGAUGACGGUACCGGAAGAAUAAGCACCGGCUAACUACGUGCCAGCAGCCGCGGUAAUACGUAGGGUGCAAGCGUUAAUCGGAAUUACUGGGCGUAAAGCGUGCGCAGGCGGUUUGCUAAGACCGAUGUGAAAUCCCCGGGCUCAACCUGGGAACUGCAUUGGUGACUGGCAGGCUAGAGUAUGGCAGAGGGGGGUAGAAUUCCACGUGUAGCAGUGAAAUGCGUAGAGAUGUGGAGGAAUACCGAUGGCGAAGGCAGCCCCCUGGGCCAAUACUGACGCUCAUGCACGAAAAGCGUGGGGAGCAAAACAGGAUUAGAUACCCCUGGGUAGUCCACGCCCCUAAAACGAUGUCAACUAGUUGUUGGGGAUUCAUUUCCUUAGUAACUAGCUAACGCGUGAAAGUUGACCGCCUGGGGAGUAGGUCGCAAGAUUAAAACUCAAAUGAAUUGNCGGGG
RNAcentral lists this ribosomal RNA (574 nucleotides) under uncultured bacterium. RNAcentral's name for it is "partial 16S ribosomal RNA". It matches the Rfam family "Bacterial small subunit ribosomal RNA", at positions 356 to 918 of the family's 1533-position model. The record is from RNAcentral.